AUUGAAAAUUUGAUCUUUGUUUGAAUUUCACCUGCUGGUUGGCUAAAGAUUCAAGCGAGAUAUCAAAAAUCAGCUAAACUUGUAGAUGUUUUUAAAUUGUUUUCUUGGACCCGGGCUCAACACCCGGCAUCUCCACUU
This 138-nucleotide transfer-messenger RNA is filed under the name Candidatus Curtissbacteria bacterium RBG_13_40_7. Its description in RNAcentral is "partial transfer-messenger RNA". It matches the Rfam family "transfer-messenger RNA", at positions 232 to 374 of the family's 374-position model. From Rfam's summary of the family: Bacterial tmRNA, also known as 10Sa RNA or SsrA, is named for its dual tRNA and mRNA-like properties. Its role is to liberate the mRNA from a stalled ribosome. To accomplish this part of the tmRNA is used as a reading frame that ends in a translation stop signal. Lineage: Bacteria; Candidatus Curtissiibacteriota. The record is from RNAcentral.